AAAAACGAGCUCAGACUGUGACGUCAGUGAUCUUCAGAGCGGAGAACUUGGAGCUCUAGGAUGAUGCCGUAAUUACUAGAUGGGAUACAGUUAGGGUCAAUUUGACUUAAAACGUUUUGUUGUUGCAUUUAGCCAACCCUAACCCUUUUCCUAACCUUAACCUAAUGAUCAUAACCUGCUACGUUAAUUAUCCUAACCUGCUGCUUAGGUUCUCCCAAACCUGCUAUGAAAAUACCAUUUUGAGAAAGGCUGUGUCCCUUAUAGACAAAACCGGUUGACGCUUGAGUUUCCGACUUCAAAUUCCAAGUUGGAUGGCCGUUCAAAACUAUUUUCCCAGUUGGAGUUCAUUUUGUUCCUAGUUUCCAGUUGUUUUGAACGCACUUACGUCGGAGAUUUCCGAGUUCCGGGAUGUUUUGAACAAACCAAGUAGCCUAGCCUAUUCCGAUCUGACGUUUGAGUUGCGAGUGCGACACCGCUCUGAGUUGAACUGGCAGGCCAAACUUCAUGAACAGGUAAAGUGAGAGGGAGAAAGAAGAGCUGGUCAUGGAGAUAGAGCAACUGAAAGAGCAACAUGAGACUCUGAGAAGUGUUCUGAAGGAGCAACAGCAAGAGAUUGAUCGCCUCAAGUCUCUGACCACUAUUCCUGAGAAAUAUGAACGAGCAUUGAUCAAGAUCCAACAGCUGAAAAAGGAGCAAGAGGAUUUGAAAGGAAAGGUUGA
Molecule: long non-coding RNA, 719 nt
Organism: Salvelinus sp. IW2-2015
Lineage: Eukaryota; Metazoa; Chordata; Actinopteri; Salmoniformes; Salmonidae
Source: RefSeq, a predicted model, not a curated record